This 6790-nucleotide long non-coding RNA is filed under the name Equus caballus (horse). RNAcentral describes it as "lncRNA (ENSECAG00000044030.1)". Lineage: Eukaryota; Metazoa; Chordata; Mammalia; Perissodactyla; Equidae. The record is from RNAcentral.
GCCAACUUCCUUUACAGCCUGGUCUUCAUACCAACCAGAGAAAACAUCGCUGUCCGCCCAGCGCUGACGAGCAUGAGCUGCGAGACUGGGAAAGAGGAAGUGGAGACAGGGGAUGGGCAGGUCCUCUAACGGGACCAGCUUUGUCUGAAGGAGUAACGGUUGCUACAGUUUUGAGAAACAUGAAUUUAUCAAGGCAAAUAAUACAGCAUUCACACAAACAAUGAUGGGGUUUGAUUUAGGCUCAAGAAGUCGGGACUCUGCGUUGAGUCGAGCUCCCAGGACCGCCCACGGUUAUCUCUGCCUACGUGCACACGUGACCCGUGUGUGCUCCACACACGCACAGGAGUUGUUUCAUUUCCUUCUUGCAUUUGUGUGGGUGUGUUUAAUUACACUUUACAUCAAUGUGAGAAGCAGCGGGGCAGCGUACAUUUGCCAUCAUCUCUACUUCCCGGCUCUGGGGUUCUGGGUGAGCUCUUCGUCCCAUCUGGGCCCGAUUUCUUCAUCUGUAAGGUCAACAAGUUUCUGGGGUCUGUGGCUCCCCUCAAGUUAAUGCUGUAAAUGACAUUGUUGAGCUGUCUUUUCCAGUCUACGAAGAAGCUCCGUAUUCCAUGUCGUUUCCUCCUCGAUGCAAUCCCGGGAGUUGGCAAAGCAGCGGGAAGCGGUCCUACCGCGUCUGUGAAGAACCGAAAGAGCACUUUCUGAGUGCUGUCUGCAGCCUGCGCUGCACAUGAGAGCCACCUGGGGGGCCUUUUCCUGUCCGGUGUCCAGCCACACACCUGACCAGUUACAUCGCCAGUGGCAGUGAGGCUGGGGACCUCUGCAUCAGAGCCUUGGUUCUGACGAUAAAUACAACUGGAGCCUUCUGAGCUUUAACAUCCAUCUCCCAAACCCCUACGAGAUAAGCGAGAUGCUUUCCAACUGAAGCCGUUCUCAAUUGAUGAGCGGGGCCCACCAAAGAACGUGCAGGUAGUUCCAGGGCCACCUAUCAAUUUGCAGGUCAGACUGACCCAGAUCCCAUACUUAGAGGACAAUAACACAGAGGUUUUCCCAAUAUGGAUGUCAGCCCCCACCAUGGGACGGGCUGAGAAAGGCCUUCCGCCACCGUCUUCGGGAAGCCCCGGUCCCCAACCGCUCCCUCACUGGGGGUCCUCCGGCUCCUACUCCAGAGCUCAUCCUUAGAGAGACGCCUCGGGUGCACGUCAUCUGCGUUUCUGCUCACACCGUCACAAAGCCCCAGAUGAGGAAAUGAACACUGCUGCGAACACUGAACGAUGGAUUCCAAGCACAUCUCACCAAGAACACGCUUCACAGUAGCCAUGCAACAAAUGACUGUGCAUAAUCUAGGAACUACUUUGCUGUUUCUUUGGUAUGUGUGUUUGUUACUGAAAGGCUUCCAGCCCUGGUCUGAUGUCUACUUUGAAGAAACCUGGAUUAAGCAGGGGCACUUAUGAAGAAGUGGCAAAAGACAGUGGAUCUAACACGUAAGACAAGGAGAACAUGUUUAGUUAUAAAAAGUAAACCGAAAUGUCAAACUUUUCUAUUUCUCAUAUAGAUCAUACUUUAUCCUGUAAUGAUGCAAAAGUGUUGAUUCAUUUCUAGUGCAAAAAAAAAUGCCACUUUUAAAGUGGAAUAUUUUGAAAGGUGUGUUAAAAUUACUCUCAAAUCUCUUUUAGACACUGGCUGAUGAGCGUUUUCAUGGUAGAAGCUGGAGUUACCCCACCAACCUUGCUGAUGUGAGGUUUAUGAAAGCUUAUAGAAGCGAUGGCUCACUGGUGGCUUCAGUGCACGGAGUCCCAGCGUCAGAUACAAACGCUGGAUAAAUGGCUCACUGCCCUAAAGUGCCAUCUGAUGCCACCACCUGGAAUACAGCUGCUAAUUAGAAGCUUGGUGGAAACACAUGUUGGAGAAGAUAAAAGUAAAACACAAGGGCCAAGGGGGGGUGCUUGGAGUCCCGUUUCCUUAAACGCCGGUGUGAGGUCCUUCAGCAGUGCCUCGGACACCUGCCGUUGAGCAGGGUUCGUCUCUGAUGGGACUCCUCGACGUGAGUUGGCCUGAGGUGGGUGUUCCCGUCUGUGAAUGAAUUCCUGUGCAGAGCCAGUCAAACGCAGCCUGGAUGCCGUGUUUGCUCAAUGCCAACAGUGCUGUCAACAAGGCCUGGUGACGCCUGAAAGAUGCAAAUGGAAACCUCAUCUCUCACUUCUGGCUUUAGUCAGUGGCUGCCCACACUCGGAUUACCCCUUGGCAAGUGCUCUGGCGCAGAGGUGUUACUCUGUGGGAAACUUUGAUGACAGGCAUCAAACGGGCCAAAUGUUACCUCCAACAAGAAAGGGCGGGCAGGUAGAACGCAGUACUGUGGGCAGAGGGGGUCCCAGCUAUGUGUCAGGUCUUGGCUCACAUGUCAAUGACAACGGCCUUCUCAGCUGCCCCCUUGCCCUGUGGGACUCAGGUCUGCUUGUCAUCCUCUUCCACAGCACCCUCUGCUUUUCCUUCAGAGCACCCAGCACAAAUUGCAACCAGAAUGAGUUGUGAUCACCUGCACCAGUAGUGUCACCUCCAUGAGUUGCCCGACUGCAGGGGCUCGGGGUCUUGUCCGUUCUUUCUGCACUACUGUCUACACAACACAUGAGCACACGGAGGCCCUCCGGAGCUUCCUGGAGGAAGGCCCAGGGAUGCCUUGGACAAACCGCAUACCUCGAGAAACGUUGUGUCUUGCCAGUCCUAUUUCUGAGCCCUCAAUGACGGGAUUCUGUUCUUGAAAUAAUAAAAAAAAAAAUGAUGAUAACGUACUGAGUUGUGCGAUAGGAUGCAUGUUAUCCACUCACAAGCCCUUACAGAAUCUGCCAGACUAAGGAGUGGGCGAGAUGGUCACCCGCAGGGAGAGAUUGGCAUGGAUGGAAAAGAAACUAAAGUGAAACUCUGUGGACUUGUCACACUGGGCAUCACAUGGUGUGUCUGAGCCAACGCUGGCCCGACAUCUGCAUCCGGCAGCCACUGGGUUCUCCACCUCCGAGCAAAGGCUGGUGAGCGCCUGCCAGAAGGAUGCUGAGGGAUCGAGCUGAGCGUUCUGUCUGCCUUUCACAGUAGAAAUCCACAAUGAGGCUGAGAAUGUUUAAAACAACUAAAAUAAGCAUGUAGGAAAGAACUAUACGUUUCAAUAAAAAGUGAUUUAGAGACAUUCUGUACCAGAAAUUCCUGUCCAAAAGAAACAGGAUACACGGAAAAGUGGAGCCCUACUGUUUACUUGGAGAGCAAGAUCAGGUUGGCGUGUGGAAUGCAGCUGUGCGUGGGGAGUCCAAUCACUGUGGCCAUUUUAACCAUCAAGAUGAAUCGCUGCCCGAUGAUGCCUUCUGAAGUGAUCAAUAUCAAUUUUCAAGGCAGCUGAAACAUCCCCAUCAGCCAUACGGUGGCCGGGCUCAGUGUGCCACGUGGAUCCAGCUUCUCAGCUAAGGUGAAAUGGAGGAACACACAACUGCUCGGGGCAUCGCGGCCACGGAGGCGGGAAUCUGGGUCACAAGGAUCUUGCUCCGUAUGGUAGGUUUUCUAUGCCUGGGCCAUUUCCUUGGCUCACCUCUUUAUCUUCAUAAACACAGCUUAAGUGGGUCAGUUCUCAACCAUGGGAUGUGGAAAUCAAGCCUUCUCAUUUGUUCCAGACUCGUGCAGCAGAGCAACCAGGAGGCUGCACUGUGCAUGGGCAGUUGGGCUGUGUGUACAAGUGUGGGAGUGUGCUUGUGUGUGUAUGAAGGCGAGUGUGUAGGGUGUAAGAGUAUACACAGGAGUGUGAGUGAAUGUGAGAGUAGGUGUAUAUGAAUGUGUGAAUGUUUGUAUAUGAAUGUGUGUAUAUGAACGUAAGUGUGAGUGCUGAGUGUGAGUGUGCCCACGCGCUCUUGGAGAAGCCCGUGGUGGGGGAAGGGCUCAGCCCACGACACAGGCAGCAGAAUGACUUCUUGCACUGCAGUUAAUGCUCAGUGAUCUGAGGCUUGACUCCCAGUUAGCAAGAUGACCCAGGGUCCUUCCUCCUCUGCUCUGUCUGCCUUUCAGCAAUUUUGCUGCUAUUUGAUAUCUUCACAGGUAUGUUGAUGGAAGAAAAAGAAAGAAAUUAUUUCUGAGUAAGAUGGGGGAGUGGAAGUUGAACCUUUUGGCUAAAAUUAGGCGAGAAGCUUAUCAGCGGCUCAGCAUAAGAGCAAGAAGCUUAAGUGACUGGCUUUGCUUCUGCACCAGGUCAAGGAGCCCCUCUUUUUGGUUUCUCUAGCACAAAGGUUUGUCAAAUAAAUGUAUUUCUCUGCAUUUAAGCAGUUAUUAUUUCCCCUAACAUAGCAGACAAACAUUAACCCCAGAGCUGGCGCGAAAUAAGAAGGUUAUGAUGGAAUAGCACUUUGCGAGGGGAGCACUUGCACCUACGGCACAGCGGAUGGAAGCAUCUAUCUUCCAGGACGGCAACUUCAGCCACCUGCAGGGCAGCUCCGCCCGCCUCCCUUGUGCUGGGGCACCGAAGGAGGGCGCUGCGCGGCACUCUGCACUGCGCUUCCGGGGGCACGGCCGCUGUGAGGCCAGCCUUCGCCCUUCACGCGGUCAGGAGGGCGCUGCGCGGCACUCUGCACUGCGCUUCCGGGGGCACGGCCGCUGUGAGGCCAGCCUUCGCCCGCCUCCCUUGUGCUGGGGCACCGAAGGAGGGCGCUGCGCGGCACUCUGCACUGCGCUUCCGGGGGCACGGCCGCUGUGAGGCCAGCCUUCGCCCUUCACGCGGUCAGGAGCCCAGCAGAAAGAAGAGAGAUGGAAGGAAAUUCCUAAUUCAGAGUUAAGAGGAGGGAAAUCUGAGUGUCUAAAUUGAAGUUCUGCUGCUCAUUUUCUCAGUAGGCCUGGAGUGAGCCCGCGAGUCCACGUUCCUGACCAGCUCCUGGUGUGUGGGCCACACAGAGCGAGGAAGGAGAUCCCUCGGUUGAGAAUCCAACAGAUGACCAGCCGAGGGGACGAAAUGGACAGUUACCAGGCAAGGCCUUCAGAAACCUCUAGAUGCGGGACGCAGAGUGUUCUCGGGACUCACGCACAUACCAUCAGAUUGGUGGGCUCCAUGCUCGCACUUCCCGUUGCCGUUUUAACCAUUCUCUGAUCUUGUCCGGAUUUUGAACAUCUCUCAGAGGAGAGGGGCAUUUCCUGGGACCAACAAACAUCCAAAUUAACCAUUGCCAGACCACCCACCAUGAUUCAUGCUAAGGUCACUUAGCGAACAAAGAAGAAAGACUGAAAAAGCCAAUUCACUGCUGCCAAGGAGGGUGUGUGCAAGGAGCUGCACAGUAUGAACACCAAAGCUUCAACGUGAGUCAUCACUGAUUCACCACCUUCAUUUUCUUCUUGAUGCUUAAAUUGUGUUCUCAAAGGCCAGCUCCUCCGAAACAACAGAUCCAAACUGCUGGCAACAUUUACAGCCUGUGGCAUUUCAGUUGAAGUGACAGAGCCAUACUUAAACAUUGGAAAUUGAAAAUAAUCUCUUCAAAUGACAGAUCCUUGCCUUUUGUUACAACGACCAUGUCCUUUAUAUUUCUUUACUUUAGGACUUUCUCUUCAUGUUAACAAUCAAGUGAUUACCAUAUUAAGGUUGCUGCAGUGUGCAAAUGGUUAUAAAAUAAAUGCAAACAAUAAUAAAUAUUCUUAUUGCUCUUCUUGUUACUAUUCCAAUAGUGGUAAAUCUGGGCCAUUCUUGACUGCUAUACAAGAAACAAGGUGAGACGAAAAGGAAGUCCUCGACAGUUUGCCCUAUUUUGGCUGCUUACGAUCGGACGCUCACGAGGCCAAGAUCAUAGGCUGAAUUUUCUUAUGGGCGCUGUGACUACAUAUCCCAUAUUUUUCUGAGACAGUCAUAAUUCCAGAUAUUGUUUUGUUAUUUUCAUCCAUUCAAGUUGGUCAGGCCAUGAGUCUCCAUUUGUUAUUGGAUGUCUUAUCUAAAGAUAUGUACCCCUGGGCAAGGAGGUGUGUCACAUCUUUCAUCUAGAAGCCUCAUGAGAGAGUGUGGAUCAAAGCAAGUCUGUCCUCACCAGCUUCGGGGACAUCCUAGUGGCGCAUCCAUGGUGCCAUCUUCCCGUGUAAGAGAGAAGUUUGCAGUAAAGGUGUGGUGAGUGGGAUGUUUAAGUGGUGAAUAAGUGAAGUAAAAAACUACUUUCUUUGUGAAGUCUAGGUGCUGAAGUUUUUCAUAUUCCUUUAAAUAUUUUGAACUUUAUUCUGGGACACAGUUAAAUUACUUGGAAACAUUUGAUCCUUUUGGAUCCAGCCUUCAAGCUCUGUUAGGCAGGACCAGAACAGUGCCGAGUCCAGGGCCAAUUUGGCCUCACUUCUAAGACAAUACCCCCAAGUACUCAGUGCUCCGUGCAUCAUGACGUUUCUCCACUCUGCUGUGGGAAACAUGAACUAUUCCCAGCCCUGCAUGCGAGCUCUGAGAAUUUUUCCAUCUGAUCCUUUCUGGUGGUUUUUCCUCGGUUUUGCGUAGUUUCCUGACGUGCAUGUUCUGGUCAAUACUCAGCCGAAACCUUGAGAUGGAGCCUCUGCAGACUGCUCCUGUGCGUCUUUCUCCCCUCUGGUACUCCACCCUGAGAAUUCUAGCUGCCUCAGCCUCCCCGAAUUCUCAACUCUGUCUCCUCAACUAAGGAGACCACCGGGGGCUUGGGUUCCCCCUCCUUGCACUGUGGCCUGUCCCCCUCUGCAGGCAGAAAACUGGGGCAGCUGUGGGGCCCGCCCUGUUUCUUUCCCUUCUCACAAGGAUCACUGUCCUGCAGUGCUUAUUGUCCAAUGUCUGAAAGCC